Molecule: long non-coding RNA, 978 nt
Filed under: Setaria italica (foxtail millet)
Lineage: Eukaryota; Viridiplantae; Streptophyta; Magnoliopsida; Poales; Poaceae
Description: long non-coding RNA (SITA_LNC006376)
Source: RNAcentral
GCGGUAUGACUCCUGGCCCUUGGACGAAGCAGGACUGCAGGAGGAACGAGCAGCUGAUGGAUUUACCCCUCGUCUCAUCCGAAUAUCUGAUACCUCAUCCUCUACCGUAGCAUAUGACAUGGCAGGACAUUUGUUGCUCCCUUUUGCACAUGAGGACGGCGAGGUCGUUGGGGAUCGUGGAGUCGAUGGGCAGCAGAUAGAAAACUUCCUUUCUAAACUGUUGCUUUGAUGGCAGCUCAAAUUCAUCAUCGCUACGUUACAGAAUUGCAGGUUUUAAAUCAUCCUUACGUAUUCUAGAUAAACAAAUACAUUGUACAUUAUUCAAAGCAUCCACCAUUGACGAUUGAUCUUGUCAAUACAAAAUCUCUCUGCAUCUACAUUCUACAAUUUGAUCUCUACAAUAAUUUCGUGUUGCAAUGACAUUCUUGACCGAAACUCAUUCAGUUCUGAAGUUCAUUCAGUUCUACAAUGGCAUUCUAGCCUUUCCAAGCUCAUUAAUUCUGAAGCUCGUUCAGUUCAAGUUCUGCAAUGGCAUUCUAGGUUGUCGAUGUUAGCAAGGUGCUUUUAUGCAACAGCAAGCAAGGAACAGUUAUAAUCGGCAUAUUCAUAAGUUUUCUUUAAUGCAAAUAUGACCUGCUCAGUGCUGACCAUAAUGAUAUUGCCCUGACUAGCCAUUCCCUUCUCUAGGUGGUAAAUUACAACAUUCCUGACGCGAACAUCUCAUUAAUCAUUAUCUUGAGAAAGAUUAGUGCCACAAAACCUGCAAAAUUUGAAUGAAUGAAACAUAAAGCAAACGAUUGAUACAAAUACAACAAGAGUCAUCUUCCUUAGAUUGCCUGAGCUGCAAUCGACGCGAUGAGCCCUCGGCAAAAACUUGAGUGCCUCCUACGACGAGUCGAGGUGCCAGUACCAUCAGCACCCCACGAUGAGAGUGCUGCAGGCAACGACAUCGAUGGGGAGCCGGAGCCCUCAGGGUUG